RNAcentral lists this ribosomal RNA (778 nucleotides) under uncultured soil archaeon. RNAcentral describes it as "bacterial SSU rRNA". It matches the Rfam family "Archaeal small subunit ribosomal RNA", at positions 80 to 865 of the family's 1478-position model. The record is from RNAcentral.
CGCACACGGAUCUAUACACGUAGUCAACCUAACUCGUGGACGUGGAUACCUCGGGAAACUGAGAAUAAACCACGAUAGAUAACGGUGCCUGGAAUGGCCCAUUGUCCAAACAGUUUACUGCCACGGGAUGGGACUGCGGCCUAUCAGCUUGUUGGUGAGGUAAUGGCCCACCAAGGCUAUAACAGGUACGGGCUCUGAGAGGAGAAGCCCGGAGAUGGGUACUGAGACACGGACCCAGGCCCUAUGGGGCGCAGCAGGCGAGAAACCUUAGCAAUGUGCGAAAGCACGACUGGGUCAGUCCGAGUGAUUGCUGAUAGUGAUCUUUUGCCCGUCCUAAAAGCACGGGCGAAUAAGGGGUGGGCAAGUCUGGUGUCAGCCGCCGCGGUAAUACCAGCACCUCGAGUGGUCAGGACGAUUAUUGGGCCUAAAGCAUCCGUAGCUGGUUUUGCAAGUCUCCGGUUAAAUCCACCUGCUUAACAGAUGGGCCGCUGGAGAUACUACAAGACUAGGGAGUGGGAGAGGCAGACGGUAUUCGGGGGGUAGGGGUAAAAUCCUCUGAUCCUUUGAGGACCACCAGUGGCGAAGGCGGUCUGCCAGAACACGUUCGACAGUGAGGGAUGAAAGCUGGGGGAGCAAACCGGAUUAGAUACCCGGGUAGUCCCAGCUGUAAACGAUGCAGACUCGGUGAUGCAUUGGCUUCUUGCCAAUGCAGUGCCGCAGGGAAGCCGUUAAGUCUGCCGCCUGGGAAGUAAGGUCGCGAGAUUGAACUUAAAGGNCA